Molecule: ribosomal RNA, 31 nt
Filed under: Rhizopus arrhizus
Lineage: Eukaryota; Fungi; Mucoromycota; Mucoromycetes; Mucorales; Rhizopodaceae
Description: Rhizopus oryzae partial 18S ribosomal RNA
Source: RNAcentral
UCCGUAGGGGUGGCCUGCGGAAGGAUCAUUA